This 200-nucleotide unclassified non-coding RNA is filed under the name soil metagenome. Its description in RNAcentral is "partial contains internal transcribed spacer 2 and large subunit ribosomal RNA". The record is from RNAcentral.
UUAUCAACCAUCAAGCCUGGCUUGUCAUUGGACCCUCUUUGUUGCCCAUGCGACAGGUCUAAAAGAUAAUAAACGGUGUCCUGGUAGCCCUAAAUGCAACGAGCUUUUUAUAGCACGCAUCUAGUUGUUAGUAGGCCCGGUCUCAACCCUUUUUUCUCAAGGUUGACCUCGGAUCAGGUAGGAAUACCCGCUGAACUUAA